This 70-nucleotide transfer RNA is filed under the name Camelus bactrianus (Bactrian camel). It matches the Rfam family "tRNA". From Rfam's summary of the family: Transfer RNA (tRNA) molecules are approximately 80 nucleotides in length. The record is from Rfam by way of RNAcentral. RNAcentral also lists the same sequence under 3 other names. Lineage: Eukaryota; Metazoa; Chordata; Mammalia; Artiodactyla; Camelidae.
GAGGAUGCAGCUCAGUGGUAGAGUGUGUGCUUAGAAUGCAUAGGUCCUGGGUUCAAUCCCCAGUACCUCU